GACGGCGCCCCCUGCCGGGCGGAGCGCGCGGUCCUCCCGCGUGGAGCUCGGCGAGGCUUCCCGCCUGGAGCGCGGCUCCCUCUCCCCGGUGGUGUGCGGGAGGGGCCGGGGCCGGUGCUCCGUGUUCGGCCCUGCUCGGCCCAGGCAGGAGGACCCCGAGAGCCACGAUGUGGAAAAUGAGGUGGAGAAGGGACUCAACUGUCCUCCAAACCGCCCCCAGGCCCUCCCAGUGAGGACUAUCCUGACAGUGAUUCCAAGUGUAGUGCAGCAGAAGCUUGGGGAGAUGUAUAUGCUGGGAAGAAUAUGAAGAAAAACUUGGAAGCAGUUGUUGCAGGAAAGGAAAACUCUCUUCCUGGCAAGAUUUCUGACUUCCAGAAGUAUGCAUCCAUUGGAGAACUGAAGGUGAUUCUUGCCAUGCACACUGCACUGCAUCUGAAUCCCAGCUUUGGUGCGGAUAAAGCCUCCAACUCAGAAAUUCAGCAGCAGUCCCUGUGUUUUUCCUCUGAACACUACGUAAUAUGCUGUCAGUUUGUCUCCAGGUGACUGCAAAUCCUCCCUGGUGCCAAAGGCUCACAAAAUAUUCAGUGUGUGCUCGUGAUUUAGAUGGCUGAACUGUGGAAAAACCUUACUGCAGGAUAUUUUGAGAGCAGCUCCCUGCAGUUCUUCUCAGAACUGGAGUACUCCUACAUGCUGUCUUCCUUAUGGCAGAAAAAGAAACCAGUUUUCAAUGGCUGUGAACUGGCUGGUGCUUGGGACAAGUUUUCCUAGCAGUACAAAACUGUGGAAGUGCCAGCCUCAGCUCUACUUUCUGUCAGCAUAACAGGAACGCUGAAAGUGUCCAGUGUUGUAAUGUGGAUCCAGCAGAAUGCAGUGAAUUUUUAUUCAAGCUUGGAUGCAGUGUAAAUUAUUUAAACACAAAUCCUGAAUUUUCCAGCAGAGCAAGGUAUGAUACAGCCUAGGUAAAUGAUGAGAAUCUGUCCACAGUGUAAUCUGAAUACAGUAUUUAUAAAUUGAUGUAUAUUUUGUAGUGUGUUUUGAUUCACUUCAGUUUAAUUUUCAUUUAUUUUCUCAGAGUACAUAUUUAAGAUUUCAAAUUAUUUUGGAUUUUUAGUGAUUUACAUUUUGUCAUCCAGAACUGAAAACCUGAAAGACAAGAACAAUGAGAAAAGAGCAAAACAUCUUUGUUUUAAAUGAUAGAGCAGGCGAAUGAUGAGUCAUAAUAGGAACCGUAAGUCUUGAUUUCCCACGUCAGAUGGGAUCAGCUGAUGUUACUGUGCUUUUGAAACAAAAACAUGUGAUGAGCGUAAGCAACUGUCUUAAUUCUUCUUGAUGUUGGCUUAGCGUAAUUUCCCUACUUUAAAGUGAAAAAGGGAUCAUAUAUCCCAUACUGAGUUAACAAGCCUUGACUGUAGGUGUACUCAUUAUUACUAUUACUUCUAGAGAGGCAAUUAUACUGAGCGUAAAACAUUCCUUACAUUUCACUGAUUACAUUUUAAGUAGCAGGUCAUGACUCAAAUUAAUGACCUCUGUGGAGAGUGUUCAUUAACAACUGUCUUCUUUAGUCUUUCUCUAAGGCUUUCCAAGUUUGUGUAAACAAUAAUUACAGCUCACAACCUGAUAUCGUGUUUACAUUGAGUAACACCUUCCCACAGUGAAGCAGUGGGAUUGCUUAUGCUAUAUAGUGGGAGUUAGAAUACAUUCUGUGGCUUCUAUCUGAGCCUGAACUGCUUCGAUGAUACAAAAAAACAGUAGAAAAUUCUUACAGUCUGUAUGCAAUUAUUCAAUCAACCCAUCCUCAUACUUCUAGUAGAUGAAUACUUUAGAUUACUUGAAUCCAAAUCUGUAUGUUAAAGGCAUGCUGGCUUUAUUCCGCAUCUUCAUCUUUUCCACUCAUCUUUUUUGAACUUACUUAUCCAUUUUACUUCUCAAUUUAUUGCAGGCAUGAAAUCAUGGUUUCUUUGAAGAAUAAUUGUUUUUUGUCUAAUAUUAUGCUUCAUAACUUCAAAGAAUGAAUGUCACAGAAAAUUCUUGCAUUUCAUAAUGCCAAAGUAGGCAUGAGAUCACUCAUUUGAGGAGCUUCAAGGGCUGCAGGCAGACUUCUUGAGGUCAGGGAAAUCCCUGGUGUCUGCAGCUCCAGGUAUCUGCAGCAGUCCAGCUGCAUAUUUGCAAAGCGUUAUUGCAACUUCAUCAAAACUUAAAAAAAAAAAAUUACAAAAUGGUAUCAUCCAGAUGAGAUUAUUUAGCAUUACGAGUCCUUAUGUAGCUGUUAGAAUAAUCACUUAUUUGCUAAAUAGAGUGCGGCAGCUCCUUGGGACCCAUUCCAGUCCAUCAGGUAAAUCUGUAAUUAGUAUCCAGUUGAUCUGAAGCAUGGUGCUGUCAUUAUAUUGAUAUAGACAUACACAUUAGAAAACACAACUUCCUUGGCACAGUAGGCAAUUUGCAGACUCUAAUAACUCAGGCAUUUUAUUAUUUUUUUUAAAGUGUAGCGAUUUUUAUUUCUAAGUUAAAAAAAUAAACUCAUAGUUGCUAUAGCUUUUUUAAUUUUCAUUUAAGUGGAAAACGAAUGACAAGUAAUUUUUUUGCCAUGAUUUCUAAGUUUUGAAAAUAGUCUGAUGAAUUUCUUAACAGAGAAACUUUUUUUUUUAAAGCAAAUACGUUGUGUGGUGACGUUAAGCUGUUCACAGCAGAAAAAUGGAGGAAGGCUGACAGUUGUUUUUGUGGGAAAAAAAAGAAAUCUGGAUUUAAUGUAGUCAUCUGGAAUCCGCUUUUAUUUUGUUUGUGUUUCAUAAUUUAGUUAUUGAUGUGGGAAAAGCUCGUGCCCUUUUACAGUAAACCGAGGUCCUAUACUUUUGCAUGCAGGUUUAAAAUAUAUAGCAAAUACUAGUAAAGAAGAAAAUGAAAUGUGUCAACUUGUAUGUACUAUACUUUCAUCUUAUCCAAUAACGAAUUAUUACACUAGGGGAGGAUUUGGCUGUAUAAAUGAAAUUCAGGCAUAAGGAUGUUGUGAAAUUUCUAUGGAAAGGAGCAGAUGCAUAAAUCUGUUAGCUGGGGUAACUUCCCCACUCUAUUACCAACUGUAUUAUAUUUGCAAGUCAUUCAGUAUUCUUUUGAAUAGUUUCUAAACUUUCCUUAUUAACUUGCAUCUCUUUUUCUUACGUUGACUAGGGGUUUGUGAUAUGAAAAGCAAAGCUCAGAGGACUGAUGUGCAUUGUCUGAUGUUUGAAAAGCGGAUACUGUCUACGGACUCAACUACAGGAAAAUGGGUUUCUCUUGUCAGUUUCUUCCAGGGCCUCAACAUUCUACAAUGCAAGCAUAAGACAGAUUUCUUAAUGGGCCAACAUUAGUACCAAACUAUUCUCAUUCAUGUGUCAUGUUUGAAAAGAGUGAAUGUUACAUGGAGCAUUUCAACCUGAUACAUUUUUGAACAGAAAUGCAAAAGCUGUGAAUGAUUACAUAUGAUAGAAUUGACUGAUUUUAGUGUUUAGUCACAGUCAGCGGGAAAAAUUGUCUUAAAAAUAAACUGCAUCUUGUAUGCUGAUAAACCUAGUGUAAGUAAAAUCAGAAAUAUGAGUGCUCAUUGAACGAGACAGUGAGACAAGUCUUGUGACUAAUGCAGUAGACUGGAACUGACAAAAACCUCAUAAAUAAUCAUGUUAACAGUUUAUUUGUAGGAUGUAGAAUAAUAGGGGCAAGAGAAUAAUGCUAAAUUUCAAUUAUGAAAUAUUUUGAAAUGAAACAAAUUUGAGACAGCCAAGCUCUGGUUUUUUUCAUGUUAUUUUUUUCCCCUGUUUAAAAAAAAAAAAAAUUGAACUGAAGCACUUGAGAGCAUCUUGUACACUCAGUCUCUGGCUUUUUCGUCAGUCCUAACUUUCUUUUUUUGCAGUCCCAGAUCUAUAAUACGUAUUAAAAAAGUAAAAAGAAGAAACCUUGUGCAAGAGCAGAGGCUCUUCCUUGUGCAGUACAGAUACUACGGCCACCAUAGGUGGGCUUUGACCUCUGUAGGAGUAUGGGGCUCUACCUUUGUAUGACUGUGACAUGAGUGGGAAUCUUUUUAAACUAUUAGCACUGAACAAGUUCAGUGAAGAUAAAGUCUUUCAGAAACAGAAAUCUCCUUACAACAUGAUGAAAUGCAUUACUAGCAGAGGCCUUGGAUUAAUUCUUCACUCCAAAUCCUUCCAGAUGAGUGUUUGUUCAUAGACUUUAAUUUUCGUAAUAGAUUUAGCUUUGGCCUAAAGGAAACUUGGGACAGAAAUAAACUUUGCAAAACUGCAUGGUGCACAAAUACACAUUUAAUUACAGUGAGUAAAUAAUGGAGGAGACCAGAAACUGGAAAUCAGAAUAUUCAAAGCAUUCACAGAGAAUAAAAAUUAAAUUUGAUGUUUUAGACACAUUGCCUGGUAAUGUUGGUAUUAAGACCUCAUCCAAUAGUUUAGGAACAUGUUUAAGAUAGGAACUUCAUGUUAUUUGAAUGUCACAGACUCUAUUGACAGACUGUUGAAGAGCGCCUGUUUUAAUUUUAGAAUACUGUGAAUGAUAAAAAUAAUGUUCCAAAUCCAGUACAGACGUAGAAGUUGUGUGAGUGAUAUUAACAAUUCAGUAAACAAGCUUGGGCCUCAGUUCCAUUCUUUUAAAAACAAAGAAUAAUGAUCUAAUUCAUGAAACUGUUUUGUCACUAUAAAAUAUAAUGGUAUGACAGUCAAAAAGUAUAGUAAAAGAUGAUAAAUACUCUGGUUUUUUUAAUAUAUGUAUGUAUACUUUCAUUUAGAUACCUAUGCUUCUACUUGAUCUAAGGAAGGACAUAUCCUGAAUUAAUCUAGGACUACUUUGUCAUAAUGCACAUAAAAAUAUGUAUAUUAAAAAAUGGCUAGAGUUGUUUGGAACAGGUUGCCCAGGGAAGUGGUGGAGUCAACGUCCCUGGAAGCGCGUAAGGAAGGGGCAGAUGUAGUACUUAGGGACGUGGUUUAAUGUGGCAAUAUUGGUGGUAGGUGGACAGUUAGACUAGAUGAUCUUAGAGAUCUUUUCCAACCUUAAUGGUUCUGUGAUUCAGUAGUUUACUGAGAGGCUCAUACAAAUUACUGCUCCAACUGCACUGAGUUUUCCAAGCAUUCUGUUAUUUCUAUUAACUGCUCACCUUCUGUCUGCCUCCAGAUCGUCCAGCUCAGAUUCUUACAUCAGAAGGCAAACUGGAAAUGAGUUUACAUGUUCAUGUGGUGAUUCUCUUUCAAGAAUUUAAGAGUUGUUUUGGAGAACAAAUACGUGAAAAGAAACAAGGAGGGUGUUAUACAGCUACACAGGCUGUUAGGAGAAGAGGAAGAAAGGAUUCCCCAAAGAGACAAGAGAUUUGAAGCACAAUGAUGAGAGUAGAGUGCAGCAGAUAAGACCAGGUAUCAGAGAAUGACAUAUGGGGUACAGGGAAAAGUACUUCUAGUCACUGGUUUCCUCAUGCACCAACGUACUGGGACAAGAACAUCAAAAUAAUGUAGUUACAGGGGUUUUCACAACAUUAUUUUUGAGUAAGCUGUUUAUAAACAGCUGUAGAAGCUUAAAGUUUUAUAACAUAUGGCAUGGAGCUAGUUGUAAUGCAACGAGAUAAUGUUGAAUGUUCCUUGCCCACCUCUUUCCUGCUUUCUGAGGUUACACAUCUAGAAGUUCAUGUGAUGCCUGUAACAAGACUUUCAUCACUCACUAUGCCCCUAACUUUUUGACACAAGCUGUACUAUUAACAUGGCAAGUGCAUAACCUGAAUGCACACAUCUUGUGAUCCUGCCCAUUAAACAUUUCCUGCUUGUGGAAGCAAAGGCUCCAGAAUUGUCAUCUGCCUUGUAUUCCCUUGCUGGAAGCCUACAUAAAUUGCAGGGAGGAAGUUGCAGACAUGCAUUUGGAAAGCCUUUUGGUCAGAAUUUUGAUUGAAAUUCUGUAACAUGAAACUGCCAGGUUACACAUCUUCAUAUGAUAAAUAUCAUUUAAAUAUAAUGAGGAAAAUGUUAUGUUGCUUUUGUUUUAAACCUGGUGAGUAUAUAUUCUGAACAUGCAUUUGGCGUGGAGGACUUCCAGCUAGUCUUGUAUUAAAGGUAGCAGAUAAAAUGCCAGUCAAAUAUAAUACAAUGAUUUAUUAAUUCUAAGAGAAUUAGAAAACAAAAUAGUUUGUAUAAUGACUUCUAUUGGAAUUUUGAACGAAAUCCUGAAGUUCACUUUUUUACACUGUGUAAUAAAAAAUAAUAUGUGAUAGGUGAUCUGAAUUUUCUCAGUGCACAGAAAGAAGGUACAAUAUUUUUUCGAGGAAUAUAAUUAGCAAGUGCACCACAGAAGGAAAAAAAGAAUUCAAUAAAAAAUGUAUCAAAUUUUCUUCUCUAGAGUAAAACCCUUUGAAGUAUCCUUCAAAUACUUGUCCAAUUUCAUUGCUCCCCAUGUUGCUGCCUAUGCCUCCUUCAAUAUAUUCACACUUAUACUCAGAUCAUGUUUCACUCCUAAUCUAUGAAAGCUGGAGGACAGAGGUGAUAGGAAUAACAGUGUAAGUUGCACAUCACAUACUGCAGUUCUUUCAUUUUGAUCUUCUUUCAUCUUUCCUCAGUUUUAAGCCUCUUGUCGCUUAGGUUACAUCAUCCUGUACUAAUAGGUUACACUUACCAAAGCAAUAGGAAUGUGUUAUAUACAUUAACUUAUACCUAUCUGUCAAAACACUUUUCUAAGAGAAGGUUCCUUAAAAAGAGAAUGUACUGUGCUUGUCCUUUCUAUCUGCUAGGAAAGCUCCUUUUUUAAUAUAUAUCUUGGGAGAAAAGGCUACUGACAAUGUAUGGAACAAUUCUGUCACCAACUUCUUGGUUCUCUGAUUGUUUCUGCAUUGCUGCAUUGUUUAAAUCAGGGGAUUUCUGAACUCGGACUCACUUUCAUUAAGGCACAUAGGGCUGAAAUGGAAGAAGAAAUUACAGCAAUGUCACAUGCUUAAAUACACAUGAAGUGAAAUGAUCAGAAAUCACCAGCCUGGGGCCCAAUAAAAGUGAAGCAGUUUCUGAGUGCCUGGAGGAGUCUAACGCUGAGACUUUGUACUUCCGAUGACAGAAAGGUUCUUAAAAAGAGAAACUCAUAGGAGGCAGUGGAUAGCAAGGAAGAGCAACACAAAAUCAAUUCUGAGCAGCUUCUCUGUCUCAAUUUCAAACAUCACCUCCUCCAAGCUCAGGAGUGGUCCAUCUUGAUGAGAAGGAAGUUAUGGAAAAGCAGCAGGAGGCCUGUAUGGGUGAAGGAUCUCCUGACUAACCUCAGCCAUAAAGUAAAUGCAUGCAAGACAUGGAAGCAGAGAUGGGUGACCCAGGCAGAAAACAGAACUGCAAUACCUAUUCUGAAGCACGAUCCUUGACUCUAAGUGGAUUCUGAAUUUUACACCUAUGUUUAGCUCUUCUGAAAAGUCAAAGAAUUUAUUUUUAAGACACUGAAAAUGUGCAGUUAACAUAGAAAAUCACUAUUUGAGGAGCGACUGUUGUCAAAACAUGGUCAAAACCAGUUGGGAGUUGGGAUUCCUAAGAAAGAUCCAGCAAAGUGGACAUAUGCUGCCAAGGGAGAGGACAAGAACAGACCCAGACUGAGACUGGAUGGCUGACCUUCAGAGAAGCCAUGAUGCAGUGAAUAGACAGGAGGAGAGAAGGGACUGGAGCAGGUUGGAGGAAACGUGCUCAACACAGUCAUCAUGUCUCUGUGAUUUCUUGUGAUUGCCAGCCCCAGAGGACAGAGGAAGCCAUACCAUUCUCUAGUGUUGGUAGAGUAAUCCAGCAGCACUAGCUGCUCCAAAAUGGGAGAUGAAUGAUGCGCUAUCUCCAAAUCUGAAUAAUUUGGCCCAAACAUGUAUGCAUACCUUGAGAUGCUGUAAACUCAAAAGCCAUAAAACUUGCACACACAAUUCUCAAAAGAUGAAACUUGUAAUAAAUUUAGGCUAUUAUAGUUAUAUUCUCUUGGUUUAUAUCUGCUUGAAACUUCUUUUUACUUAAGUGUGAAUCUUUCAGAUUCCCAACCAAUAAUAGUAAAUUAAAUAGAGCCUCUGUCUAAGCUGCAGCAUAGCACGCAGUUGCCCAGUUUAUACAGUCUCUGAUACAGCAGUGCUGCCCCAUGGGCAUGUCUGGGCAUGUUUGGGUAAUAGCAUAGGUGACAAAAUGUUUUCUGCAAGCAGCUUGGAUGGGACCACCCCGUUUGGGAUAUGAAAACAGUUAGCUCUGUGGCAGUGUGUCCUGCCAUACCAUCUGACAUCAAGCCAGCUUACUAGUGUAGCCAUAGGUUUAUGGGACUUGUCUGCACUUGAAAGUCUGACUUGCCUAGUUGCUGGCUUUGUCUGCAUUGUUCUGCCUCGCUUUCUCUACCAUUGCAAGCCACAGUGUUGUUCAGUUUCUCCGUUACUGGUUCAUAAAAUGUGUUUUAGAAACUUGAACCUCAUUUCUGUUAAUCUCUGUGUUAGAAGUUAUGCUAUACAUUGCAAGCAGUUCUGUAUUGCAGGUAGGCGAUGCUUGCUGCUCCACGGUUUGUCCAGGGAGAGUACAAAGAGCACCAUGACAUAUCUGGGCAUAACUUCAAGUCUUAAAGUCCUAUUGAGCAAGGUCUGAAGCUCGUAUUCAGUGCCCAGGAGCAUCAUCAAUGAAAAGUUUAUUCCUAAGCCAAAAAAUGGGCUGCAAGUCUAAGAGCUAAAGCAUCGAGAGCAUCUUCCCUGUGCACCAAGAAGUCUCAUGUUUGAGUCAGAACCUACCACAGGGAAAGACAUGGGCAGAGCUGUAUGCCUACAGCUUUAUGUGUUGAUAAGAAGAGAAAAUGCCAGGGCCUAUCAUUUCUGUUAAUUAAGGAGGGAAGUAAAACAAGUACAAUUUUUAGAAUCGCUUAUUACAGUAAUGUAGGAAAUCUGUUUUUUAAAUGGACUAAAAUGUAGCUGCUCAAUAUUGUGCAAGAGGCAUUAUAUGCUUUUAUAAAUCUGUUACAAAUUGAUUAUUCUUAAUUUAAUUUUUCAAUUAAAUUAUUUAUGUUUUUAUUCAAUAUUGAAAGAAGCAAGCGAAAAAAUAGGUUAUAUUAAAAAAUUCAAUUAAAAUCAGCCAAGUGCUUAGUUCUGAAGAUUCUUGCUCUUGUUAUGGAUAAGUGGGAUUUUAGUUGUUCUAAUUUAAUUGUCAAAUCCAAGAACUAUCCUAAAUCCACAUAAAGCUGUUUUCAUUUAUUGUCUGUGAAAACAAACUUGCACUGAUUCUUUGGUCUGAAAGCAGCAGAUUAAUAUUUCAUAUUAUAUAGUUUAUAUAUACUGUACUUUGGACUGAUAGACUGUAAUCAGUCUGCUUUAAGUCAUCUUCUAACAUGUCUCAGAUUAAAUUUGCUUUUCUUUUUAAUACUGAUAUGAAAAAAUAGUUACAUUUGCUAAACAAUACAUCUGAAUCCACCAGUCAUGGACAUACUUAAUAAAAGGCAGAAAAUCUGUGGGUGGAUACAUUAUUUUCUUUUUAAUCUGUUAUGCUCAUUUCCUCCCAAAGGCAUGCACAAGGUAAGUGCAGAGCCCAAAGGGCAGAUGAAACUUUGCUUUUACCAGCAGAUCUGGCUUGCAAUCCCACCUGAGUUAUCCUCAACUGAACUUUGUUUGAAAAGUUGCAGUUGUCCCUCUACCAACACGUGCUGCUGGGUGAUAACAUAAUGCUGUACCUAUUAGAUUCACAGUGAGAUACUAGCAGAUCUUGUAGUGCUAAAUAGCAACACGUAUAGAGAAGUGGCUAUAGUCCUAAAAUAUAUAUGAUAGAAGGGUGUUGCAAUCACUAAGCUGAAAGAGGUCAAACCCUAUGCCAAUGAUGUUGAUCAGUAUCAAAUUUUGACUGUUCAGUAACAGCUGAGGCUCCCACAAGUUGUGUAUUUGUCUUCCCUUACAAAUGAGCAAAAAGUUACAGCAUGAGCAAAGCCCUAAGGGGUAAAUAUUCCAGAUGUAGUGCUUUAGCCAGUGAAGUCACUGAUGAUCAGCUGUGGCUGAUUAUGGAAAACCACAUAGUGGAAGCUGUCUGCAAUUUUUGAAACAUUUAGAUCGAAAUAACAUAAUCAAAUGGGACACUGACUGAAAACUGCAGAGAGCACACUGCAUAUAUGUUAUGAAUAAGGUAAUUAAAUACUUCUGAAUUUUACAGUAUGUCAACUGUAUGCAUCCUGCACUGAAAACAUGCCUCCUUCAAUUUUUCUUUCAUAGGAAAUUUGUGUCACAAAACAUUUUAUUCAGCACUUAAACUAUUGUUCAGGGUUAUUUUCACUCUUAAGACAAUUAGCUGAACUUGAAUAUAUUUGUCACCUUUAAUCUCUGUAGAACAUCAUACAGAACAUUCAUGUUUCUCAUUUUUGUUAUUAAAACUACCAUUCAAAACA
This is a long non-coding RNA of Numida meleagris (helmeted guineafowl), 10356 nucleotides long. RefSeq lists it as uncharacterized. Lineage: Eukaryota; Metazoa; Chordata; Aves; Galliformes; Numididae. The record is from RefSeq and is a predicted model, not a curated record. The transcript is spliced from 14 exons.